RNAcentral lists this ribosomal RNA (385 nucleotides) under uncultured bacterium. RNAcentral describes it as "bacterial SSU rRNA". It matches the Rfam family "Bacterial small subunit ribosomal RNA", at positions 28 to 417 of the family's 1533-position model. The record is from RNAcentral.
GACGAACGCUGGCGGCGUGCUUAACACAUGCAAGUCGAACGAUGAAGCCUUUCGGGGUGGAUUAGUGGCGAACGGGUGAGUAACACGUGGGCAAUCUGCCCUUCACUCUGGGACAAGCCCUGGAAACGGGGUCUAAUACCGGAUAACACUCUGUCCCGCAUGGGACGGGGUUAAAAGCUCCGGCGGUGAAGGAUGAGCCCGCGGCCUAUCAGCUUGUUGGCGGGGUGAUGGCCUACCAAGGCGACGACGGGUAGCCGGCCUGAGAGGGCGACCGGCCACACUGGGACUGAGACACGGCCCAGACUCCUACGGGAGGCAGCAGUGGGGAAUAUUGCACAAUGGGCGAAAGCCUGAUGCAGCGACGCCGCGUGAGGGAUGACGGCCU